RNAcentral lists this non-coding RNA (27 nucleotides) under Drosophila melanogaster (fruit fly). Lineage: Eukaryota; Metazoa; Arthropoda; Insecta; Diptera; Drosophilidae. The record is from RNAcentral.
UGUGUUUCUUUAGUGAAACCACCGCGA